Molecule: ribosomal RNA, 832 nt
Filed under: Acinetobacter baumannii
Lineage: Bacteria; Pseudomonadati; Pseudomonadota; Gammaproteobacteria; Moraxellales; Moraxellaceae
Description: bacterial LSU rRNA
Rfam family: Bacterial large subunit ribosomal RNA
Source: RNAcentral
CUGAACUUUGUCCUUACUUUUGUAGGAUAGGUGGGAGGCUUUGAAGCUGGAACGCUAGUUCCAGUGGAGCCGUCCUUGAAAUACCGCCCUGGUAAUGUUGAGGUUCUAACUCUGUCCCGUGAUCCGGGACGAGGACCGUGUCUGGUGGGUAGUUUGACUGGGGCGGUCUCCUCCUAAAGAGUAACGGAGGAGUACGAAGGUGCGCUCAGCGUGGUCGGAAAUCACGCGUAGAGUAUAAAGGCAAAAGCGCGCUUAACUGCGAGACCCACAAGUCGAGCAGGUACGAAAGUAGGUCUUAGUGAUCCGGUGGUUCUGUAUGGAAGGGCCAUCGCUCAACGGAUAAAAGGUACUCUGGGGAUAACAGGCUGAUACCGCCCAAGAGUUCAUAUCGACGGCGGUGUUUGGCACCUCGAUGUCGGCUCAUCUCAUCCUGGGGCUGAAGCAGGUCCCAAGGGUAUGGCUGUUCGCCAUUUAAAGAGGUACGCGAGCUGGGUUUAGAACGUCGUGAGACAGUUCGGUCCCUAUCUACCGUGGGCGCUGGAAAUUUGAGAGGAUCUGCUCCUAGUACGAGAGGACCAGAGUGGACGAACCUCUGGUGUACCGGUUGUGACGCCAGUCGCAUCGCCGGGUAGCUAUGUUCGGAAGGGAUAACCGCUGAAAGCAUCUAAGCGGGAAGCCUACCUCAAGAUAAGAUUUCCCUAGGACUUUAUGUCCUCUAAAGAGCCGUUCGAGACUAGGACGUUGAUAGGUUGGAUGUGGAAGCAUAGUGAUAUGUGAAGCUGACCAAUACUAAUUGCUCGUGAGGCUUGACUAUACAACACCCAAGCAGUUG